RNAcentral lists this ribosomal RNA (315 nucleotides) under Triticum aestivum (bread wheat). RNAcentral describes it as "partial small subunit ribosomal RNA". The record is from RNAcentral. Lineage: Eukaryota; Viridiplantae; Streptophyta; Magnoliopsida; Poales; Poaceae.
AUGGAUCUGACCCGCACCAUCAACCAUACUUCGACGCCCACUUCACCGAGGCAUCACCGCCGGCACCUCACACGUAGGUGGUCGGGCGCCCGCUGCUCGCCAGGGCCCUGCCUAACUGAGCCUCACGGCGCCGCCGCCUCCAUGGCUGCGCAAGCGCUGCCGCCUCCGACGAAAUCAGUGCACCACCCACAUCCACUCUCCCGCUGCACCCCUCGUGCAGAUCCAGGGGAGCGCCGUCGAGCAUCCCGCCAUGAACCAGCCUCCAGCAGCACCCGACCGGGAGCCAUCCGACGCGCCAGAUCUGACCUGACCUGA